This 446-nucleotide long non-coding RNA is filed under the name Brassica napus (rape). RNAcentral describes it as "long non-coding RNA (BNAP_LNC024098)". The record is from RNAcentral. Lineage: Eukaryota; Viridiplantae; Streptophyta; Magnoliopsida; Brassicales; Brassicaceae.
CGAGAAAUGCUCUGUUUGAACAACUCAGUCUUAUUGGUUCAAACCAAAGCAAAAUGUUUAUCUAAAAUCUUGACAUUAUAUUCUUCCAUGCUAAUAUGUUAAAAUGUCUUUGUAAUUUGAGAGGCAUUUGUCAGAAACAGUGCAAUGAUAACUAAAAACAUCUGGCAGAAACAGAAAGAUAACUUUGAACUUGAACAUAAUUCAUAAAACUGUUUGAACAACAGAGUUUGAUAGUUUAAAUUAAAAAAAAACCACAAUUAUGCGUAAGCAUUAUUAUAAAAGCAACUUUGCACAUAAGCUGUGUGUGGCUUCUUGGUCAACUUGGUAAACGCUGGGUCCAGAGGUUUUUUGUUGACGACACAACUUGAGGUCGUUUCUGAACCUGGUGAUUUCUCGUUUUCAUUAUUACCAACGAUCACCUUGGUUGGGAGAGAGCUGACACCAGG